UUUUGCAUGCGGCAGCUUACCAUGCAGUCGAACGCAUUCUUCGGACUGAGUGGCAGACGGGUGAGUAACGCGUGGGAAUCUACCCAUCUCUCUGGAAUAACUGCUGGAAACUGGAGCUAAUACCGGAUACGCCCUUUUGGGGAAAGAUUUAUCGGGGAUGGAUGAGCCCGCGUUGGAUUAGCUAGUUGGUGGGGUAAUGGCCUACCAAGGCGACGAUCUUUAGCUGGUCUGAGAGGAUGAUCAGCCACAUUGGGACUGAGACACGGCCCAAACUCCUACGGGAGGCAGCAGUGGGGAAUAUUGGACAAUGGGGGCAACCCUGAUCCAGCCAUGCCGCGUGAGUGAUGAAGGCCUUAGGGUUGUAAAAGCUCUUUUCACCGGGGACGAUAAUGACGGUACCCACAAAAAGAAAGCCCCCGGCUAAACUUUCGUGCCCAGCAGCCCGCGGGUAAAUACCAAAGGGGGCUAGCGUUUGUUUCGGAAUUUACUGGGGCGUAAAAGCGCACGUAAGGCGGGAUAUUUUAAGUCCU
Molecule: ribosomal RNA, 530 nt
Filed under: Pelagibacterium halotolerans
Lineage: Bacteria; Pseudomonadati; Pseudomonadota; Alphaproteobacteria; Hyphomicrobiales; Devosiaceae
Description: bacterial SSU rRNA
Rfam family: Bacterial small subunit ribosomal RNA
Source: RNAcentral